This 205-nucleotide ribosomal RNA is filed under the name uncultured bacterium. Its description in RNAcentral is "partial 16S ribosomal RNA". It matches the Rfam family "Bacterial small subunit ribosomal RNA", at positions 568 to 774 of the family's 1533-position model. The record is from RNAcentral.
AGCGCAGGUGGUUGUAUAAGUCUGAAGUAAAAGGAAGUGGCUCAACCAUUGUGUGCUUUGGAAACUGUACAACUUGAGUGCAGAAGGGGAGAGUGGAAUUCCAUGUGUAGCGGUGAAAUGCGUAGAUAUAUGGAGGAACACCGGUGGCGAAAGCGGCUCUCUGGUCUGUAACUGACACUGAGGCUGAAAGCGUGGGGAGCGAACA